GCUUAACCGAAGAAGUGCAUCGGAAACUGGGUGACUUGAGUGCAGAAGAGGACAGUGGAACUCCAUGUGUAGCGGUGGAAUGCGUAGAUAUAUGGAAGAACACCAGUGGCGAAGGCGGCUGUCUGGUCUGCAACUGACGCUGAGGCUCGAAAGCAUGGGUAGCGAACAGGAUUAGAUACCCUGGUAGUCCAUGCCGUAAACGAUGAGUGCUAGGUGUUGGAGGGUUUCCGCCCUUCAGUGCCGGAGCUAACGCAUUAAGCAUUCCGCCUGGGGAGUACGACCGCAAGGUUGAAACUCAAAGGAAUUGACGGGGGCCCGCACAAGCGGUGGAGCAUGUGGUUUAAUUCGAAGCUACGCGAAGAACCUUACCAGGUCUUGACAUCUUGCGCUAACCUAAGAGAUUAGGCGUUCCCUUCGGGGACGCAAUGACAGGUGGUGCAUGGUCGUCGUCAGCUCGUGUCGUGAGAUGUUGGGUUAAGUCCCGCAACGAGCGCAACCCUUGUUACUAGUUGCCAGCAUUCAGUUGGGCACUCUAGUGAGACUGCCGGUGACAAACCGGAGGAAGGUGGGGAUGACGUCAGAUCAUCAUGCCCCUUAUGACCUGGGCUACACACGUGCUACAAUGGUCGGUACAACG
Molecule: ribosomal RNA, 637 nt
Filed under: uncultured bacterium
Lineage: Bacteria
Description: bacterial SSU rRNA
Rfam family: Bacterial small subunit ribosomal RNA
Source: RNAcentral